CUGUCAGCAGCAGCAGUGAUAGUGCAACAGCAAUGGCAGUACUAACCAUGGUAACUGCGUUGGCAGAGAUUCCAGCCUUGGUUGAGGCAUCACAUCUUCAGCAGGUCUACAAUUACAGUGACACCCUCCCUGAAAGCCCAGCAGUGGAUAUAGACUUGUUGACUUCAGUUUAGCAGUGAUGCAGCUUCUGAUCUCUGCCUGACUGGCUCAUGGAGAAAGCCUACCUAAGAAUGAAGCCGGGACCCGGCAGAAUGGCUCCUGUGAAGAAGGGUGGCAAGAAGAAAAAGGGCCGUUCUGCCAUCAAUGAGGUGGUGACCCGAGAAUACACCAUCAACAUUCACAAGUGCAUCCAUGGAGUGGGCUUCAAGAAGCAUGCCCCUUGAGCACUCAAAGAGAUUCGGAAAUUUGUCAGGAAGGAGAUGGGAACUCUAGAUGUGCACAACUGAUACCAGGCUCAACAAGGCUGUCUGGGCCAAAGGAAUAAGGAAUGUCCCAUGCCGAAUCCAUGUGCAGUUGUCCAGAGAAUAUAAUGAGGAUGAAGAUUCACCAAAUAAGCUCUGUACUUCGGUUACCUAUGUACCUGUUACCACUUUCAAAAAUCUAUAGACAGUCAUUGUGGAUGAGAACUAAUCACUGAUUGUCAACUAUAUCAAACAAAGUUAUAAAACUGCAAAAAAAAAAAAAAAA
Molecule: long non-coding RNA, 687 nt
Filed under: Homo sapiens (human)
Lineage: Eukaryota; Metazoa; Chordata; Mammalia; Primates; Hominidae
Description: novel transcript
Source: RNAcentral